Long non-coding RNA from Chelonia mydas (Green sea turtle), 7485 nucleotides. RefSeq lists it as uncharacterized. The transcript has 17 exons. The record is from RefSeq and is a predicted model, not a curated record. Lineage: Eukaryota; Metazoa; Chordata; Testudines; Cheloniidae.
CUGUCACCCUCCUCCUCCAAAACAAAAACGCGCGCGCACACACACACACACACCCCGUGCAGGGGAGUCCGCAGCACCUCGCUUAGGCGUAGGGCUGGUUCCUGCAACUUCUAGCCCCUUCUCUGAUGUGAGUCACAGUGAGGUUCACUUUCUGGGGGUGGGAGUGCGUCACUGCUGGUUAGCGAGGGGGUGCAGGGGUUGCAGCUCAGGACUGAUUUGAUUUCUCUCUCUCUCUCUCUCCCCCCCCCCCCUCCGUCUGAAUUGGGCUGGAAAGUUGCGAAGCGGGGUGGGCGGCAUGAGAAAGUUACACACAAAGCGAGGAGAGCUCCUUUGUUCUGCUGGGGGGGUGGAGGGGGGACCUUUGGAGAGGGUGGCUGAGCCAGACACAUACAGGUCAGGAACGAUCGACAGCGAUUAGCCUUUCCCGUCAAACACCUCCCUCCACCCAAAGGAGCCAGGCGCUUGGAGGAGGAGGAGGAAAGCGGAAGGUGUAUCACACCAAGGUAAAGUGUGAUUGUCAGAGAAGCAUGAUGGCUGCCAAAACACCUUACAGCAAUAGGUGCCAUAUUGCAUUUGCUCUUCAAAUGGUGGAAUACGGCCGUGGAUACUUUAGUGGGGAUUAACAGAGUACAAACACUUAAUGACUAAAGACAUCAAACAUCAUCAUUUGGAUUUAUACAUCUAUUAAUAAACUGAUAAAACUGGUGGUAGUGGCUCUUGAAGAAAUCAGAAAAUAUGGAAGGUACUGUUGAAAAUGGUCUGGAGUAGAUCGCUUUGUGACAAUGAUAUUCUACAAUUAAAAUAAGGAAUUGGCCAUCUCUUUCUUUUGCACGGUUGCUGAAGCACUGUUACAGGACAGCAAGGAUUGAUGAAUAUUCUUCAGGUAUGAGUCAUGUCAGUACAGUGAAAGAGGAGGAUUUAUGUUUCUGAAGUGGGAUUGUGUAUGUGAUCAAAGGAUUUACAUCUAGCACUAUGUGCUGUAGUUCCUUCCUGCUCCAGGAGGGACACCUGGGCUUUUUGCUGGAGGCAUUAGUGCAACAGAAUCUGAACUUCAGUGCAGACAAAUGGGACAUGGAACAUAUUUUUCCUCGAAAGAAAUCAAUCUGUGAAAAGGGGCAACCGUGGAGGUCAAAAACUGUAUUGUACCCUGCUGCUGUUACUGACUAAGCCCUUUUGGGUAUACGGGUGAUGUCUUCAUUCUGCUAUCGAACAUGGUAAAGGGCCUCUAUCCGCAAGCUGGCAUUACGAUACCAUCAUUGGUCUCUGAAGCAGCAGCAUUAGAUACACUGUGAUGGGCAACCUAGAAAUACCAAGAGCAGCAAGCAGCAUGCCACAUCUUCAUUUUUAGCUCUUUUCCAUACUCUGCUCUUGAGGUGGCAUGGCCUCCCUCAGAGGUGGACGCGGAGGGAACGCUGCAAGUCGCCUGGUGGGUGGAACCAGGAGGGCCACGCUCUGCAGCGGUGGGACAGAGAGAGGAAGUAUAAAAGGCUGGCCCAGCAGCUCUGUCAAAAGGGAGCUGCAGAAGGAGACAGACGCUUCUUCCCUGCUGCUGGAGUGGGAUGCCAAGGAGAACUGCUGCUGCCUAGAAGAUCAGCCUGAGCUUCCAGAGAGCCCUGCCACUCCCGAGGCUGAGGAGCUGCUACCGCUACCCUUGGCAGAGUAUCCCGGGGAGACUGAGGAUGACCCCUGGAUGCAGGUUUCCCUGGAUAGCAACGAGGCCCAGAAGUCAAGCCAGUCUUCCUCAGUGAGGGGGCCCGCUCAGAAACUGCUUACUGAGGGAUAGUACGACUUGCCUGUCACUCUUGCUGUUAUGGCAGGAGGUACUGUAAUGGUUACCAAGCAAUGUCCAGGCUAUGCCCUUCUCUGGAUACUAAGGACUACAGGUAGCCAUGUUGUGGAGAUGCCUGAAGACCUGGAGAGUAGAAACUGCAUCCUGCAGGGCUGAAUCAUCCAAGAAGCUGGAGGAAGAGGUGCUCCAUGCACUUCAUCAUGAGUUGGCUAAUCUAAGAAAUAACAUAAAGACUCAAAGCCUCAAUGAGAUGCUUCUGGGCUACAAAUGGUGCAAAACUUCUCUUGCAAGCCAGGAAUGAAAGUGGAGAAGUGGAUGGAUGAACAGCUGAUACAUACAAUCAACUGGUGACUAGGUUACUCUGAAUAAUUUACAAAUGACACGAAAAUGUAAUCAACAAAUAUUUGUAUUCAGGAAUGAAAGGCAUCUGGAUUUCAACCUACAAAAUGGAAUUAAUGAUAAAGGACAUGCAAGUAUAUCAGAUUGCUGUAGUCCUUCUGAGAAAGGCGUGAAUGACUGAGGCCAGGUCAUUGUCUGCCAGGAUGGGAAGGAGCCAAUUGAAGAUGAUAGAAAGUAUUAUUCAUGGACGCUACUUUGUGAGAGCCUAUGUCAAUGAGGAAUCCAAGAGCAAUGUUAAACUAUGGACUGACCUGACAAACUGAGAUUUGCUUAGCUCACGCUCAUGAGCUGGAGAAUAGGAAGACAGGCAGGAAGAUGAUGCACGAUCUGGACUCAACACCAUUUAUGGGACCUUCCUCCUUCCAGUGAACAGACAGCUCUUCAUGCAAAUUUCAGAUGUCUCCCUCUCAGUGGCAACUCAUUGUGUCUCUUUGUAUGAUGCCAGGGCCUUCACAUCAUAUACAGGGUUACUCGGGUUGCUCGGAAGAGUGAAGGCAUGCAGGCUCUGUCAAACAUUUACCCUGCCUCAAAGGAUCUGAACUCAAGGCUUUGCCUGGGAACGGAUAACAGAGAGAAGGCCACAGGAGUCGACUUUUAGAAGAAAUUUGCAUUUCCCUUUUCUUUGCUACUUGGGGACGGAACCUUGGUUGUGUCACAGACAAUGGAGCAUCUAUUUUGUAAUUGAAUAUGUACGCUGUGGAUUGCAUCCAAAUGGGAAAAGAAACACAGCUCAUAGAAACCAAUUGUAAGCUCUUCAGAACAGGGACGGUCUCUAAAUAGGCCUAUGUACUGUGUUCAGAAAAAUGGGGGUCUGAUAUUGGUUGGGAUCAUUAAGCGUUACUGCACUAUUACUAAUAAAUAAUCACAUUCUGUGUAUUACAGGGAUUUGUUUGGACAACUCCCAUUUUAAUCAUUAUACCUGAAUCAUCUGUACAUCCAGAUCCAUAAAAUGACGAAAUGCACAAAUCAGAAUUUCCACAUACCCAGGGGGAAGAGCUCCAUCUUGCAAGAAAAGCAUGAGUUUUACUAGCUAUUUUAAUGUUAAGGCAGCUCAGUCAGGCUGUAACUGGCUCAAGCUGGCCCUCCCAGAAGCUGUAACAUUCCUUGCCCGUUUAUAAGCAACAGUAAGUAUAGGGGAGUUGCAUACGGACUCAGUUUUGUUUUACUGGCUUUCAGUAAAAGUGGGAAAACUGCAACAAAAAGCAUAUUAGAGAAAACCCCAAACUUUGUAUUUGCAUAAGGGUAACUAAACAUGCACUGCAAGACUUAUGGACUCAUAGACUUUAAGGCCAGAAGGGACCAUCCUGAUCAACUAGUCUGACCUCCUGCACAUCACAGACCACAAAAUCUCACCCACCCACUCACUCCAGUAAUUGGCCCACAACCUCUGGCUGAACUACCGAAGGCCUCAAAAUUGGAUUUAAAGACUUCAAGUUACAGAGAAUCCACCAUUUACACUAGUUCAAACUCGCAAGUGACCUGUGCCCCAUGCUGCAGAGGAAGGUGAAAAAAUUCCAGGGUCUCAGCCAAUCUGACCUGAGGGAAAAUCCUUCUAACCCCAACUAUGGCAAUCAGUAGACUCUCAGCACGUGGGCAAGGCCCACCAACCAGACGCCUGGGAAAGAAUUAGCCCACCCCAUCUAAUGUCCUGUUCCUGGCCAUUGGAGAUAUUUGCUAAUAGCAGUCAUGGAUUGGCCAUAUGCCAUUCUAGGUAAUUUCAUCACACCAUCCACUCCAUAAAGUUAUCAAGCUCAGUCUUGAAACAAAAUAGGUUUUUUUUCCCCAACUACUCCCCUUCAAAGGCUGUUCCAUAACUUCACUCUUCUGAUCAUUAGAAACUUUAAUUUAAUUUCAAGCCUAAACUUAUUGAUGAUCGGUUCAUAUCCAUUUGUUCUUGUGCCAACUUUGGUCCUUAACUUAAAUAACUCCUCUCCUUCCCUGAUGUUUAUCCCUCUUACGUAUUCAUAGAGAGCAAUCAUAUAUCCCCUCGUUGUUCAUUUGUUUAGACUAUAAGAAGCCAAAGUUUAUAAAGUCUUUUCUUGAAAGGUAGGUUCUGCAUUCCUCUGAUCCUAGUAGCCCUUCUCUGCACCUGUUCCAGUUUGAAUUAAUCUUUCGUAAACAUAGGAGGCCAGAAUUGCACACAGUAUUCCAGAUGAGGUCUCAUCAAUGCCUUGUAUAAUGCUAGGGAUAACACUUCCCUAUCUCUACUGGAAAUACCUUGCCUGAUUCAUCCUAGGAUUGCAGUAGCCUCUUUCAUUGCUGAUUCACACUAGCAACUCAUAGUCAUCCUGUGAUUGACCUGUACACCCAGCUCUUUCUCCUCCUCUGUUGCUCCAAUCUGAUAAAUCCCCAGUUUAUAGCAAAAAUACUUGUUGUUAGUCCCUAAGAACAUGACCUUGCACUUUGCACUAUUAAAUUUCAUCCCAUUUCUAUUAUUUCAGUUUUCAAGGUUGUCCAGAUCUUCUUGUAUGAUAUUCCAGUCCUCCUCUGUAUUGGCAAUACCUCCCAACUUUGUGUCAUCCGCACAUUUUAUUAGCACUCUCCCACUUUUUGUGCCAAGGUCAUUAAGGAAAAUGUGAGAUAAGAUUGGUCCUAAGACCAGUCUCUGAGGAACUCCACUAGUAAUCUCCCUUCAGCCUGACAGUCUACCCAUUUAACCAGUUCCUUACCCACCCUUCAAUUCUCAUUUUAAUCCCCAUCUUCUCCAAUUUAACUAAUUAUUUCCCAUGUGGAACUGUAUCAAAUGCCUUACUGAAAUCCAGGUAAUCAGACAUGAUGCAUUUCCUUUGCCUAGAAAAACAGUUAUUUUCUCAAAGAAUGAGAUCAGGUUGGUCUGGCAUGAUCUCACUUUUGAAAAACCAUGUUGUAUUUUAUCCCAAUUACCGUUCACCUCUAUGUCCUUAACUACUUUCACUUUCAAAAUUUGUUCCAAGACCUUGCCUACAACUGAAGUCAAAUUAACUGGCCUGUAGUUUCCUGGGUCACUUUCCCCCCCUUUCUUAAAGGUACUGUAUUAGCAAUUCUCCAGUCAUAGGGUAUGGCCCUCAAGUUUACGGAUUCUUUAAAAAUCCUUGCUAUUUGUCUUGCAAUUUCAUGUGCCAGUUCCUUUAAUAUUCUCAGAUGGAGAUUGUCCAGGCUCCCAAAUUUGGUCUCAUUAAACUAUUUGAGUUUGGCUUCCACCUCAGAUGUGAUAAUUUCUAUUUCCAUAUCCUCAUUUCCAUUAGCCACCCUGCCACUGCCCCCAAGCUCCUCAUUACCCUUAUUAAGAACUGAUGCAAAAUAUUUGUUUAGGUGUUGGACCAUACCUAAUUUUCACCCCGGACUCAGUUCUUAGCAGUCUCACUUCUUUCCUUGUUUUCUUUUUAUUUAUAUGGGUAAAGAACCUUUUACUGUUGUUUUUAAUUCCCUUUGCAAGGUCCAAUGCCGCUUGGCUUUUGGCAGUUCUCACUUUUUCCCUGCAUUUUCUGACCCCCAAGAGGACACUUUUCUUGCUGAUCCCUUCCAUCUUCCAUUCCUUGUUGGUUUUCUGCUUUCUCUUAAUCACCUGUCUGAGACGCUUGCUCAUCCAGCUUGGUCUGUAACCCUUCCCCAGGAAUUUUUCCCCUUGCUUGGGAUGCAAGCUUCAGAUAGUUCCUGCAACUUUAACUUAAAGUAAUUCCAAGUCACUGCCACAUUCUGAUCCUGGAGUUCUUUAGUCCAAUCAAUUGCACGAACUAAUUCUCUUGUUUUUUUAAAGAUAGCUCCUUUUGAAAUCAAGGACCAUAGCUGCAGACCUAUUUUUAUUUAUCCUUUCAUUUAGUUUAAGCUGAAUUAACUCAUGGUCACUCGAACCGAGCUUGUCCCCUAUAACCAGUUCUUCUAUGAGAUCCUCGCUGCUCACCAAUACUAAAUCUAAAAUGUCAUCAUUUGUUGUUGGUUCAGUGACUCUUUGGUGAAGAAAUCUGUCAAUCAGCCAUCACAUCCAGCAAUAUCUGGGCCCUACCAUUAUUAGUAGCACUUGUCCUCCAAUCUAUACCUGGGAAAUUAAUAUCUCAUAAUCACACCAAGCAGAGCAAUAAGCAGCUCUUAUAUGAUAUUGCAGAAUGACUUGAGAACCAGGUCACAGAGUGCCUCUGUCACUACCCAGGGUACUGCCCUGCCUGGCCAGUUCAUGUGGCCUCUCAGUCACAAACACAUACCAGGUUGUUACCCUUUCACCACAUGUGUAUUUAUUCUUUCCUUACACAGUAUAACAGUGUACUUCAGGUUUACAGCAAAAGGAGGCUUAUGCACAGCCUUCACUCCUCAGCCCAGGCUUAUCCUCUGAGCUCUCUGUGAUGCUGGCAGACCAGGUGCCAGCUUAUGCCGAGGGCCUCUCUGAGCACUGACAAAUGCAUAGCUGGAGACCAGGCUGGCUCGCUUGUGGGUUAGUAUAGUUAAAAUAGAUAUUAAUAUUAUAAGAAUGCUUUUACUGUUUAGACUUUAUGAAAUGCUUGUAGGAUGCUGCAUGUAGUAAUCCUACUUAUAAUAUCUGCUCUCCAUGUUAAAAGGCAAUACUUAAAUGUUUGCUCUAGAACUGUGAAAGGUUUGUUCUGAAACGCUGUAUCUCACCAAACAGGAAAAAGUCUUCACUCAUGCAAAAAUUCUGGAUUCCUAUGGAAGUUAUCUCCUGCCCAUCAGGAAGGGCUACUGAAUCCAUUGUGGAACAAAGACUUUGUCAUUUGCUCCCCCACCCACCCACGAAGAGGUUAUGUGCAGAAGCAUUUGUCCUAUCAUCUUAGACUCUGCGGGGUGGGGGGGGUUGGAUAAAAAUCCCUGACCAGAAGGUAUUGGGGGUUUUUUUGUGCUGUUCGGACUCUAAGCAGCAAAGAUUCCUAAGGAUAAGCAAGAGAUCACCAGGACUAACCUGGGGUAGCCCCAAUGGACAUAUACAGCGGUCAUAUUUCAGCAGCUCUAUCACCAUCUGAAACCUAAAACUGCAACUCAUUUGUGUGUGUAUGUUUAUCUGCUUUAACCUUGUAAAUAACUCUUAUUUCUCUCCUAGUUAAUAAACCUUAGUUGGUUUGAUACAGGAUUGACUACAAACGUUGUCUUUGGUGUGAGAUUUAAGGUCCAACUUGACCUGGGGUAAGUGACUGGCCCUCUGGGACUGGAGUAACCUGAAUAUUUUGUGAUCUUUGGUGUUAAAUGAUUAUCUAUUAGAGAGGCAAGCUUGUUUAGGUAGCAAGAUAGAUCAGAAUGCCCAGGAGGACUGUCUAACUCCAUCUUAUGGCUGUAUAGUGCCUGAGGAAUUUAGACGUAUUACUUGGCUGGUGAAA